AGAGCUUCGGCUUGCAGGGCCUGCGUCCCGCUGCGGACCGGUGAUGAGACUGAGGCUGAAGAGGCUCAAGCCUUGGACACUACUUGGCUUCAAGUGUACAGGCUAGACUCAGCAGAACCAACCAUUGGACUCGGUGGUGCUGUCUGUCUGUUGCCCCAAAGAGCAGAGUCAAUUGGCAGUGAGUUAUCUGGGGACUGUCUCAAAAGAGGACAUGCUCUUCACUGCUUGGUCAUCAUCAUACAGGAAAGUCAAGACAAGCGCUAAAGUGUUUUCAAAUUCACUUGUAAGUUCUCAAGUUGAUGAGUCAUCUCUAGGAUAUUCUCAACAUGAUUAAUGAUUUGAAGACUGUUG
Molecule: long non-coding RNA, 351 nt
Organism: Phodopus roborovskii (desert hamster)
Lineage: Eukaryota; Metazoa; Chordata; Mammalia; Rodentia; Cricetidae
Exons: 3
Source: RefSeq, a predicted model, not a curated record